AAUCCAGUUAAAUCCAAGCCCAGAAAAUACAAGAUGUGGGAAAUGGGAUCCAUUUGAAAUGUGUUCGUAAAGCUGGAUGAUAUGAUGACAAGAGAUCCUUCUUGUCUAGGGACGAAUUUUCCAACAUCCCACACCGUCCUCAGCCUCAGAUCUACUUCAUUCUAUUCUAUUUCCUGUUCCUGCACCUCUAAGCUUCGUUAAUGGCGAAACUGGAGUCGCUUGACGGGGUAGCCAAAGAUAACAAUGUGUCUACAAAGAAGCAGAAGAGAAAUCAUGGGUCUACUUCAUUUUUCGUCUUCGUGGACUACCUUUUCCUAUUCAUCUUUUUUGGGUUCCUCUGCUUCAUCCUCUUCAAGAUGUUCGGUGUCUGAGAUUCCCCAAAUACACAGAGUUUCACAUUCCAUUUUGAAGAUUAGGUUCAUUACUAGACCUCUGCCCCAUUAGGACACUAACUCAUCAAAGCCAGCUACUUAUUUCUCCCUAGAUACUUGUAUAUUCGUAAUUCCGUAAAAUCGGACUGGAUAGAAGAACCAUUCAAGUGGCAGAUGAACACUGCCGACUUGUUCUGAUGAUUAUUGCUAGAUGAACUCAAGGAUAGGAUGUUUCUUUAACACCACCAAUAUUGGCAGGGAUUGGCACCUCAUAUCCAGGAUUUGGAAUGAAAUUAUCAUCCCCACCUGGAAUAUAUUGACGUUUUGGAGCUGGGUUACUGCCAUAUGAACUCGAAUGCCCUCCUCCAUGGCUGCCUUUGUCGUAUGGUGACAAUGUGAUGCGUCCAAUGCCAGGAAUUAGCACACUGACCCUAUCAUAUCCAAUCAGCCAUUAAGGCUGUUUCUUAUCAUCAUCACUGCUCGACCUUUCAGGAAAAUCACGUGCUGCAACUGCUUCUCCAGUCAUUGCGAGGAUCACAAGGAAGAUAGGGAACAGAGAAGGUGUGAUUCUGUGAGCCAUUUAUCUGAUAUUGUGAGUAAUGCCAGAGAAGUUUUGUUUGGUGAUGAAGAAACAAGAAGAAUAGAGGUGUUCUUAUAGAUACGAGGAAGAUGAACUGAGAAGGAGAGUGGUAGAUGAAGUUUUGGCGGUGAGUUAAAACGAGAUAGUUGCUCCAUUUAUUGGAUUUAGAAUGGUAGGUUGAAAAAUAUAACUGGUAAAGUAUGAACGGAUGGAGAGAACAAAUGGAAGAAAGGGUUGGAAUCUUUUCAUAUGAACAAUAACUUGAAGUAAUGAAACAAGGUGUCUGGCAUUCCUUGUAAACACUUAAAACCAGGCUACAAAGAGUUUGGUAACUCCUCAACAGCUAUUACGGCUUAUAAAUGUAAUGAGACGUUUCGUCAGAAUGUUAAAAACAUGAAGCAACUUUCUGUUAAUGGAUGAAGGAUAAGUCCCUGUAAAACAGACAGUUCACUAUAUCGAAGUGUAAUUAAAACAGUAUUGAGGAUAAACAAAAUUGUUCAAAAUAUAGCAAGCUAUACUUCAAAAAUGAGUUUUA
Molecule: long non-coding RNA, 1486 nt
Organism: Cucumis melo (muskmelon)
Lineage: Eukaryota; Viridiplantae; Streptophyta; Magnoliopsida; Cucurbitales; Cucurbitaceae
Exons: 2
Source: RefSeq, a predicted model, not a curated record